Long non-coding RNA from Pogoniulus pusillus (Red-fronted tinkerbird), 255 nucleotides. RefSeq lists it as uncharacterized. The transcript is spliced from 2 exons. NCBI's taxonomy places the organism in Eukaryota, Metazoa, Chordata, Aves, Piciformes, Lybiidae. The record is from RefSeq and is a predicted model, not a curated record.
CUCCAUGAUCCUGAAAGUAUUCAUCCACAAGAGGAGAUUUAUCCUCUUCAACUUCCUGCCAAAAAGAAAACAACAAACAAAAGAUGGGGAAAGUGCAGUCUCUCUGCAGAUCUGAGAAAGCUCUCACUGAAGAAUGAAAGUUGGAAGUACUUUUAGACUGCAACCAGCAUCUGGAGGCAGCUGAAGACAUCUAUCACAUCUCCGCCAGCUAAGCAUUCUUUCAUUUGGACUGAAUAAACCCAGUUCCCUAAAUCA